CAUUUGUGCUGUAUAUAUUGUUGAAGUAUUUCACUUCCCCUCCAUGUGACCACCUACGUGCACUGACAGAAAGCAAAGCCAGACUUCAAAGCAUCUGACAGGAGGCAGGCAGGCGUUGUUUCGUCAUCCUCCGAGAAAGAAGCUGAAGCAGAGUGGCAAGACCUCCCCAAGAAGAGUCAGAGCUCCAUUUGUUCCAGUGAGAUUGUAGUUAAAAGUUCUCAGGAUUUCGCUCAUCUUUAAUUGCUGCUGUCUCAAUUAAAUUGCAUCUGUGAUAACAACAGCCCUCCUGGAGCCCCAAAAGGAAC
This is a long non-coding RNA of Manacus vitellinus (golden-collared manakin), 305 nucleotides long. RefSeq lists it as uncharacterized. Lineage: Eukaryota; Metazoa; Chordata; Aves; Passeriformes; Pipridae. The transcript has 3 exons. The record is from RefSeq and is a predicted model, not a curated record.